CGCCGCGUGGGGGAUGACGGUCUUCGGAUUGUAAACCCCUUUCAGUAGGGACGAAGCGCAAGUGACGGUACCUGCAGAAGAAGCACCGGCUAACUACGUGCCAGCAGCCGCGGUAAUACGUAGGGUGCGAGCGUUGUCCGGAAUUACUGGGCGUAAAGAGCUCGUAGGCGGUUUGUCACGUCGUCUGUGAAAUCCCUCGGCUUAACCGGGGGCGUGCAGGCGAUACGGGCAGACUUGAGUACUACAGGGGAGACUGGAAUUCCUGGUGUAGCGGUGAAAUGCGCAGAUAUCAGGAGGAACACCGGUGGCGAAGGCGGGUCUCUGGGUAGUAACUGACGCUGAGGAGCGAAAGCAUGGGUAGCGAACAGGAUUAGAUACCCUGGUAGUCCAUGCCGUAAACGGUGGGCGCUAGGUGUGGGGUCCUUCCACGGACUCCGUGCCGUAGCUAACGCAUUAAGCGCCCCGCCUGGGGAGUACGGCCGCAAGGCUAAAACUCAAAGGAAUUGACGGGGGCCCGCACAAGCGGCGGAGCAUGUGGAUUAAUUCGAUGCAACGCGAAGA
RNAcentral lists this ribosomal RNA (561 nucleotides) under Dietzia sp. RNAcentral's name for it is "bacterial SSU rRNA". It matches the Rfam family "Bacterial small subunit ribosomal RNA", at positions 395 to 967 of the family's 1533-position model. The record is from RNAcentral. Lineage: Bacteria; Bacillati; Actinomycetota; Actinomycetes; Mycobacteriales; Dietziaceae.